UACCACAGCCUCUUUAAAAUACUUUAAAU
This 29-nucleotide non-coding RNA is filed under the name Mus musculus (house mouse). Lineage: Eukaryota; Metazoa; Chordata; Mammalia; Rodentia; Muridae. The record is from RNAcentral.